GACGAACGCUGGCGGCGUGCUUAACACAUGCAAGUCGAACGGAAAGGCCCUGCUUUUGUGGGGUGCUCGAGUGGCGAACGGGUGAGUAACACGUGAGUAACCUGCCCUUGACUUUGGGAUAACUUCAGGAAACUGGGGCUAAUACCGGAUAGGAGCUCCUGCUGCAUGGUGGGGGUUGGAAAGUUUCGGCGGUUGGGGAUGGACUCGCGGCUUAUCAACUUGUUGGUGGGGUAGUGGCUUACCAAGGCUUUGACGGGUAGCCGGCCUGAGAGGGUGACCGGCCACAUUGGGACUGAGAUACGGCCCAGACUCCUACUGGAGGCAGCAGUGGGGAAUAUUGCACAAUGGGCGGAAGCCUGAUGCAGCAACGCCGCGUGCGGGAUGACGGCCUUCGGGUUGUAAACCGCUUUCGCCUGUGACGAAGCGUGAGUGACGGUAAUGGGUAAAGAAGCACCGGCUAACUACGUG
This 468-nucleotide ribosomal RNA is filed under the name uncultured bacterium. Its description in RNAcentral is "partial 16S ribosomal RNA". It matches the Rfam family "Bacterial small subunit ribosomal RNA", at positions 28 to 507 of the family's 1533-position model. The record is from RNAcentral.